AUACGUAGGGUGCGAGCGUUGUCCGGAAUUACUGGGCGUAAAGAGCUCGUAGGUGGUUUGUCGCGUCGUCUGUGAAAUUCCGGGGCUUAACUCCGGGCGUGCAGGCGAUACGGGCAUAACUUGAGUACUGUAGGGGAGACUGGAAUUCCUGGUGUAGCGGUGAAAUGCGCAGAUAUCAGGAGGAACACCGGUGGCGAAGGCGGGUCUCUGGGCAGUAACUGACGCUGAGGAGCGAAAGCAUGGGUAGCGAACAGGAUUAGAUACCCUGGUAGUCCAUGCCGUAAACGGUGGGCGCUAGGUGUAGGGGUCUUCCACGACUUCUGUGCCGUAGCUAACGCAUUAAGCGCCCCGCCUGGGGAGUACGGCCGCAAGGCUAAAACUCAAAGGAAUCGACGGGG
RNAcentral lists this ribosomal RNA (398 nucleotides) under uncultured bacterium. RNAcentral's name for it is "partial 16S ribosomal RNA". It matches the Rfam family "Bacterial small subunit ribosomal RNA", at positions 523 to 918 of the family's 1533-position model. The record is from RNAcentral.